UACGGAGGGUGCAAGCGUUAUCCGGAUUCACUGGGUUUAAAGGGUGCGUAGGUGGGAAUGUAAGUCAGUGGUGAAAUCUCCGAGCUUAACUCGGAAACUGCCGUUGAUACUAUUGUCUUGAAUAUUGUGGAGGUAAGCGGAAUAUGUCAUGUAGCGGUGAAAUGCUUAGAUAUGACAUAGAACACCAAUUGCGAAGGCAGCUUACUACACAACGAUUGACGCUGAGGCACGAAAGCGUGGGGAUCAAACAGG
This 252-nucleotide ribosomal RNA is filed under the name uncultured bacterium. Its description in RNAcentral is "partial 16S ribosomal RNA". It matches the Rfam family "Bacterial small subunit ribosomal RNA", at positions 524 to 776 of the family's 1533-position model. The record is from RNAcentral.